Amblyraja radiata (thorny skate) is the source of this 133-nucleotide long non-coding RNA. RefSeq lists it as uncharacterized. The record is from RefSeq and is a predicted model, not a curated record. The transcript has 3 exons. NCBI's taxonomy places the organism in Eukaryota, Metazoa, Chordata, Chondrichthyes, Rajiformes, Rajidae.
CCUCAACUUCUCAGAGUACCUUUCCUUGGCAGCUCUGAUUCCUCUUCUCAGCUUGUACUGGGCCUGCCUGUGGAGGUCUGCAUACCCGUUCCUGUAGGCCUCAUCUUUAUUGGCGGAGCUGUCUGAAUUCUGC